Molecule: ribosomal RNA, 363 nt
Filed under: Woloszynskia sp.
Lineage: Eukaryota; Dinophyceae; Gymnodiniales; Tovelliaceae
Description: partial small subunit ribosomal RNA
Rfam family: Eukaryotic small subunit ribosomal RNA
Source: RNAcentral
AUUCCAGCUCCAAUAGCGUAUAUUAAAGUUGUUGCGGUUAAAAAGCUCGUAGUUGGAUUUCUGCCGAGGAUGACCGGUCCGCCCUGUGGGUGUGCAUCUGGCUCAGCCUUGGCAUCUUCCUGAAGAACGUAGCUGCACUUGACUGUGUGGUGCGGUAUUUAGGACAUUUACUUUGAGGAAAUUAGAGUGUUUCAAGCAAGCGCACGCUUUGAAUACAUUAGCAUGGAAUAAUAAGAUAGGACCUCGGUUCUAUUUUGUUGGUUUCUAGAGCUGAGGUAAUGAUUGAUAGGGAUAGUUGGUGAAAUUCUUGGAUUUGUUAAAGACGGACUACUGCGAAAGCAUUUGCCAAGGAUGUUUUCAUUG